UGGAGAGCAAAAUGGAGAGCAAAAAAAAAAAAAAAGCUUACAGCACCUGGUAUUGCCAGGCGGUCUCCCAUCCAAGUACUAACCAAGACCGACACUGCUUUGCUUCCCAGCUGCCGACUGCAAGGCCAGCUAAAUGUUUCAGCUUCAGUCAAUCACGUCCGCAGAUUCUAAAACAUUUGGAGCCAAUCACGUUCGCACAGUCUAAAACAUUUGCCCAAUCACGGCAGAAAUCCUGGAGAGCAACGUCAGGCACACGGCAGAAAUUCUGGAGGGCGACGUUACAUUGCUUACGCUAGACCUGAGGGGGCGGGUAAUUCAAAGAGUGAAGCUAGCCGGAUGCUUAAGGAAUCAACCGAGGCAGAUUAUCGACAUGGUGUCAAACCCCCGUAUCGGGGUGGAGUCGUUGCUGGUGACGGUCAUCAGUAAAGCACCAGCCCAGCAGAAGGCAGGGAGAGUCUGGCCGGGGAAGUGCUUCAGACUCUAGACAGAGAAGGCCUACAAGACAUAAAUGCAGAGAUACCAAAGCUGAGAGAGGUGCUGAGGAGUCUUAACGACAGUCAUACCAACAGAAUGGCCUCACAGUAUGUUAACAGAGCCACAGGGAUUCUGUCCCUCAUACAGACAUACAACAAAAAGAACAACGAAGAGAUGAAUAUGGACAAAACUAAGCUGCACAAUGAGCUGAAGAAGAAGCUGGAGGAUGAACUGAAACGUCUAAGGGAUCGUUUAGAGCCAUGUUACGGUGAACUGGAGACGUGCCUCUCAGAUGGAGUUAAAAAGUCAGAGAAGAAAUGUGCUAAAAUAAUGAAGAAAAACAUGGAUGUACCAGUAAGCACUACUACUUGGCAGAUAAAGUUAUUUUAUGGUAUUAUAUGUAAAACCGCUACAGAUCUACCAUGCUUUAAUCCACACACAUUUAAUAAAUGAAACAUUCAAUAUAAUUUCUUUAGGCAGAAAGAGAUGGACGUGGAUACCAUCAGACUCUAUCAUUCUUGUGCAGAAAUGAAGGUUACUUCAGGUCAAAUGAUGGAGAAAUGAGACCUGAACGAGUCUCUGGCUGAGAUUAUGCAUGAAAGCAUCAAUGAAAAGUUUGAUGCCUUGUUCCCAAAUGAAGGGGAAACCAGCCAGUCAGUGCAGGCGAAGGUCAAACAAUUCAGUGUCUGCUCGAUCAGAGUCGAUGAGGGCUACAGCAACCCUGCAGCAAUGAAACUUUUUCUGAGGUUCUUAAAAGCUGAGAGGCUGAAGAAUGUGUUGGAACGAGAUCCAUGGCGGGGAAGCAGAGAAUACUGAUACAACACACUGAGUCACUAAAGGGUACCAUGUUCAAGAAAGCAAAGGACGAGAUGCUGACUGUUCACAGAUCUGACGAAACAAAUUGAGAUCCUUUUGAGAGGGGACCUACUGAAAGCUAUGGAUCAUUCACUGAUUGAAUCCAACUUCCCGUUUAGCAUGGGUAAGUCAGGAUCUCCACAGAUCUUCAUCAUAUCCCAUAUCCAUCUGCCUGAAUGUAACCGGACAGGUUGAACGUUAGACCCUUGAAUACACAACAAUACCAACAAUGUAUUUAAGAAAAC
Long non-coding RNA from Clupea harengus (Atlantic herring), 1574 nucleotides. RefSeq lists it as uncharacterized. Lineage: Eukaryota; Metazoa; Chordata; Actinopteri; Clupeiformes; Clupeidae. The transcript is spliced from 7 exons. The record is from RefSeq and is a predicted model, not a curated record.